This is a non-coding RNA of Triticum urartu, 135 nucleotides long. NCBI's taxonomy places the organism in Eukaryota, Viridiplantae, Streptophyta, Magnoliopsida, Poales, Poaceae. The record is from Rfam.
GUAGUACUCCCUCCAUACCAAAAUUCUUGUCUUAGAUUUAUCUAAAUACGAAUAUAUCUAGUUAUAUUUUAGUGUUAGAUACAUUCGUAUCUAGACAAAUUUAAGAUAAGAAUUUUGAGACGAAGGGAGUAGUAA